GGUUGGUCAGGUUUCGCAGGUUCCUGCCCAGGCGGUCCUCACUGCCGUACACCAUGCUGGCGUCCACGAAGGAGACCACAUCUUGGCCAAGGAACAAGAGACAACAUCACCCCAGAAUGUCAUCUCAAUGUGUUCAUGGAUCCUGUCACCUGCUGGGAAAGAGCCCAGGGCCUCCUCACAGAGGGGGCCAUCCUUUCAGCAUUUUUCUGCCUGGGACUUACUGUCUGUAAACUUGAUCGAGUGGCUCUUUGUGAAGAAGGUUCUAGAAUUUUGUAGGCUUUUGAAAAAAUUUUUAAGUCUACAAGCAAUGUUUUUUUUUAUUUUUUUAAGCAAUGUAUUUUAAUUGAUGAAAAGUUGGAAAAGACAAAUAGACAAAAAAUACGUUGAAAUUACUUAUAAUCAAGUGAGAUUGUAGAUAAUUUUUUUCAAGGUUUGUCAUUGGUUUUUUCACACAAAUAAGCAGUAGGAAGGAAAAUAAUUUCCCAUGAUUCUACUACUUACCAAUAUCCUACUUAAUAAUUUGAUAUCAUAUAUACAUACAUAUUUUUAAACAGUUAUAAGAACAACUUUAAAUAUUAUUUUAUAACCUGCUUUUAAUACUGAACAAUUUUAGCCUAAACAUCUAUGUCAAUAAAUGUAGAUUUACUUUA
Non-coding RNA from Heterocephalus glaber (naked mole-rat), 650 nucleotides. The record is from RefSeq and is a predicted model, not a curated record. NCBI's taxonomy places the organism in Eukaryota, Metazoa, Chordata, Mammalia, Rodentia, Bathyergidae.